Molecule: long non-coding RNA, 333 nt
Organism: Stegostoma tigrinum
Lineage: Eukaryota; Metazoa; Chordata; Chondrichthyes; Orectolobiformes; Stegostomatidae
Exons: 3
Source: RefSeq, a predicted model, not a curated record
AUUUGAAACAAGAAGAGAACAUGUCAUCUGUCAGGCAAGCUAGUGUGUUGUGGCAUUUUGACUACGAGAGGCAUCAGGAGAUGAGCUUCCAUCACAUCUCGCUGUCGAUACCUCCAACGUUCAAAUUCUUAACUCUGAGACCUCAAAAAGACUCGUCGAAAAUUUUGUAAUCGCUCUCAUGAACAAGGAGCGUUUCUACAUCCGCACAUUCUUUUCGACAUACAAAGCAUAUACCACUGCUGAAAGUGUGUUGUACAUCCUCCUGGACAAAUAUGGGAGCUUUGACACCUCAGAGGCAGAAGAGAUUCCAGUAAUCGAUUCAGUGAGCACAAA